RNAcentral lists this ribosomal RNA (465 nucleotides) under Vreelandella stevensii. Its description in RNAcentral is "partial 16S ribosomal RNA". It matches the Rfam family "Bacterial small subunit ribosomal RNA", at positions 338 to 795 of the family's 1533-position model. The record is from RNAcentral. Lineage: Bacteria; Pseudomonadati; Pseudomonadota; Gammaproteobacteria; Oceanospirillales; Halomonadaceae.
CCUACGGGGGGCAGCAGUGGGGAAUAUUGGACAAUGGGGGGAACCCUGAUCCAGCCAUGCCGCGUGUGUGAAGAAGGCCCUCGGGUUGUAAAGCACUUUCAGGGAGGAAGAACGCCUGGUGGUUAAUACCCAUCAGGAAAGACAUCACUCACAGAAGAAGCACCGGCUAACUCCGUGCCAGCAGCCGCGGUAAUACGGAGGGUGCGAGCGUUAAUCGGAAUUACUGGGCGUAAAGCGCGCGUAGGUGGCUUGAUAAGCCGGUUGUGAAAGCCCCGGGCUCAACCUGGGAACGGCAUCCGGAACUGUCAAGCUAGAGUGCAGGAGAGGAAGGUAGAAUUCCCGGUGUAGCGGUGAAAUGCGUAGAGAUCGGGAGGAAUACCAGUGGCGAAGGCGGCCUUCUGGACUGACACUGACACUGAGGUGCGAAAGCGUGGGUAGCAAACAGGAUUAGAUACCCGUGUAGUC